CAAUACCCGGAUGGAAGUGUAAUGGCCGCCAUCAGGGACUCGCAGGCAAUGGGGACUACGACAGAUAUCAUCUCUUCUUUUGAUCACUGUUCCUGAUUGUGACAUUGUGCAAGUGUUAAAUUGUGUGCCUUUUGUUCCUGAAGAAAGAGGUCCUGGGAUCUUUGAAAUCCUAAGAUUCUUGGAUACUACAGUAUCAUAAAAUUCCUCUAAAUGGAGUAAGUAUACACAUAAGUAUAAUGAUAAAUUAGGAAUAAGAUUAUUUAUUUAACUGUUGAAAUAGCUGUUGUAUAGUAUACCACCUUACAUUAUUGGUUUAA
This 317-nucleotide long non-coding RNA is filed under the name Piliocolobus tephrosceles (Ugandan red Colobus). RNAcentral's name for it is "lncRNA (ENSPTEG00000032960.1)". Lineage: Eukaryota; Metazoa; Chordata; Mammalia; Primates; Cercopithecidae. The record is from RNAcentral.